Molecule: long non-coding RNA, 1087 nt
Organism: Raphanus sativus (radish)
Lineage: Eukaryota; Viridiplantae; Streptophyta; Magnoliopsida; Brassicales; Brassicaceae
Exons: 6
Source: RefSeq, a predicted model, not a curated record
AAUUCUUCGACUUGUUUCCACAAAUAAAACAAAAAAAAAGUAAAAAAAGAAAAAACAAUCUUAUUAGGUUUUUCUCUCAUCGAUCGAUCUCUUCUCUCUUCCUCUUCUCAGAUCUCCCAUUUACAGACAAAAAAAAAUCUAGAAACAGAUCGUCUGAUGCAUCGGCGCCUUCGUCAUCGUGACUUCUCGUCUUUUCUCUGUCGUCGUUUCUCCUCGUUUCCAUCCUCCCAUUUACUCGUCUCCGUCACAACCUCGCUCUCUCUCUGCUCUCUUGUCUCCGGUGGCAAGGCGGAGCUUCGUCGAAGGCGGCAGCGAAGCUUCUGAUUUUCUCAAAGAGUUUCUCAGCCGCUGUGGCGACUCUCUUCCCUUAUCGACCGUGAUGAGCUCUCUCAUCCCUCAGUGUUGAGACGGAGAGAACAGAUCCGGAGGUGGAGAGAAAGAUCCGGAGACUGUGUGAAAUUGGAGAAUGAACAAAUAAAUUGGAGGAUGCACAAGAGGCUUGACUAUGGAGGGGACAAGGCAUGGUCUCGGCGGCAAUGGUGCAAGGCGUGGUCUCGAAGCCAGGGUAUGAGAUUGGAUUUUCAGGAGUAAUAGAGCUUGUUAAGGAGUUCAGUGACGAGGUUAAAGAGCAAGAAAGUUUGCACCUUUGGAUGAAUCUCGAACUGAUCAAAACACUGGCUUGUUAUGCUCCGCUUCUCUGCGGUUUCUCUCUGUUUCUUUUUCCUUGUGUUAAGUUCUUAGUUAAAGGAGGAACUAUAUAAACAGAUGUCUACACUUCAAGAUAUCGGUGUAUCAGGAUCGGAUAGUUUCUCCACCUGAAGCUUCGAAGUUGGCCGCAAAGUACACAGGAGAAGGGUUUAAAACCCUGAAGCUCAAGGUGGGGAAGAACCUUAAGGUCGACAUAUAUGUUCUCCAGAGACUUAGCUUUAGGUUUUAUAUUUUUGGUGGUCAUGGCGAUGAUGGUGAAGACUUAGCUUUAGGUUUAUGUUUUUAGGUUUAUGUUUGGUUUAGUUAUGGUUUAGAUUUUUGGUUUUGUUUUUGGUUAUUUUGUAAACAAUUUCGAUAUAUAAAAUUCUUUUAAAAAUAU